ACAUUGAUGGUGAAACGGUAUCAGGCUUGCCUUCCAUUCAGACCGGUACCCCUGUAGCAAGCGGCGUGGGUUCGACUCCUGCUCGAUGUA
This 90-nucleotide transfer RNA is filed under the name Ganoderma leucocontextum. RNAcentral's name for it is "tRNA-Gly". It matches the Rfam family "tRNA". Rfam says of the family: Transfer RNA (tRNA) molecules are approximately 80 nucleotides in length. Their secondary structure includes four short double-helical elements and three loops (D, anti-codon, and T loops). Further hydrogen bonds mediate the characteristic L-shaped molecular structure. tRNAs have two regions of fundamental functional importance: the anti-codon, which is responsible for specific mRNA codon recognition, and the 3' end, to which the tRNAs corresponding amino acid is attached (by aminoacyl-tRNA synthetases). tRNAs cope with the degeneracy of the genetic code in two manners: having more than one tRNA (with a specific anti-codon) for a particular amino acid; and 'wobble' base-pairing, i.e. permitting non-standard base-pairing at the 3rd anti-codon position. Lineage: Eukaryota; Fungi; Basidiomycota; Agaricomycetes; Polyporales; Polyporaceae. The record is from RNAcentral.